RNAcentral lists this ribosomal RNA (381 nucleotides) under Triticum aestivum (bread wheat). RNAcentral's name for it is "partial small subunit ribosomal RNA". The record is from RNAcentral. Lineage: Eukaryota; Viridiplantae; Streptophyta; Magnoliopsida; Poales; Poaceae.
AUGGGCUCCUCAGAGCAGAUGGUAAUCGCUAAGCUCAAUGCCACCCGGGAUGCAUUAAGCAAGCUUCUUGGUGGAGGCAAUCAGCAAGUGUUGACAACCGGAGUUGGCCAUGGAUUGGGGGUUGAGGUUGGAGAACUUAGGGAAUGCAAGCAGAAGCUUAUUGAGCAGUGCAGCAGGAAGCAUUGGCCAAAAACCAUCUUUAAGUUAGAGAAGGAAGAUGGCCCGGCACAUGAUAGGACAUUUGUUUACUCCGCUCAGGUAGAAACCCAAGGUGGUAUUUGGGUAACUUUAAGUGAUAAGAUGUCAAGGGUAAAGGAUGCGGAGAAUUCUUGCGCGCAGAAGAUGUCCGAACAUCUAUUGAAAUUGGAUCCAUGCACUUGA